AACGAACGCUGGCGGCAGGCUUAACACAUGCAAGUCGAGCGAGGUAGCAAUACCUAGCGGCGGACGGGUGAGUAACGCGUAGAAAUCUGCCCUGAGGUCUGGAAUAACACAUGGAAACGUGUGCUAAUGCCGGAUAUACCCGAGAGGGGAAAGCUUUAGUGCCUUAGGAUGAGUCUGCGUCGGAUUAGCUUGUUGGUGGGGUAAAAGCCCACCAAGGCAACGAUCCGUAGCUGGUCUGAGAGGAUGGCCAGCCACACUGGACUGAGACACGGCCCAGACUCCUACGGGAGGCAGCAGUGGGGAAUCUUGGACAAUGGGGGAAACCCUGAUCCAGCCAUGCCGCGUGAAUGAAGAAGGCCUUCGGGUUGUAAAGUUCUUUCAGUGGGGAUGAUAAUGACCGUACCCACAGAAGAAGCUCCGGCUAACUCCGUGCCAGCCGCCGCUGUAA
This 448-nucleotide ribosomal RNA is filed under the name uncultured bacterium. RNAcentral describes it as "partial 16S ribosomal RNA". It matches the Rfam family "Bacterial small subunit ribosomal RNA", at positions 29 to 523 of the family's 1533-position model. The record is from RNAcentral.